RNAcentral lists this transfer RNA (77 nucleotides) under Bacillota bacterium. RNAcentral describes it as "Firmicutes bacterium (anaerobic digester metagenome) tRNA-Pro". It matches the Rfam family "tRNA". Rfam says of the family: Transfer RNA (tRNA) molecules are approximately 80 nucleotides in length. Their secondary structure includes four short double-helical elements and three loops (D, anti-codon, and T loops). Lineage: Bacteria; Bacillati; Bacillota. The record is from RNAcentral.
CGGGGCGUGGCGCAGCUUGGUAGCGCGUUUGGUUCGGGACCAAAAGGCCGGAGGUUCAAAUCCUCUCGCCCCGACCA